UUGAGACAAAUGGGGGAAGAUUAACUUGGACUAGGUACCAGUGAUAUUAAAGCAUUAUACUAUUUUCUCUACUUUGGUGUGUGUUUGGAAUUUUUAGCAAUGAAAUGUUUAAAAAAACAAAAACAACACACAACAAAAAACAAGGGCGGGGCGCCUGGGUGGCUCAGUCAGUUAAG
Molecule: long non-coding RNA, 176 nt
Organism: Herpailurus yagouaroundi (jaguarundi)
Lineage: Eukaryota; Metazoa; Chordata; Mammalia; Carnivora; Felidae
Exons: 3
Source: RefSeq, a predicted model, not a curated record